CUGUUAUCAAUUAAUCAAAUUCUAUAAUUUUUUUCCUCUUAAUUUUUUGCUUUCUUUUCAAUGAAUGGUAAAUAAUCGAGACGAUGUGUGAAUAAUUUAUUUUUCGAUAUUUAUUAUUGAGACUGUAACUACUUUGAAUUUUUAAUCAAUUCCAGGAAAAUUAUGAACGUAUUGUCUCAGAUUCUUCAAGAUGUAAAAUGAGAUCUUCAGAAGAAAAUAAUCAGGCAAUUAAACAAAUGAAACAUGGACAAUGUGAUUGUAUCAAACCAAAAUCAAGAAAGAAAACGAUAGAACAGAAUGAACAAACGAGGGAAUCUAAAUGUGAUACCAAACAACCGAAAUCAAAGAAGACAACGCUUAAACAAAAUGAACAAACAAGAGAAUGCGAUUCGAAAAUAGCGAAAUCAAGAAAGCCUACGACAAAACAGAAUGAACAAACGAAAGAAACACAGUGUGAUUCGAAAAAAACAAAAUCAAGAGACACAAAGAGAAAACAAAAUAACAAAACGAAAGAAACACAAUGAUAUUCUCAAAUAUCCAAUUCGAAAAAUUUCAUUGAUGCCUAUUCAGAAAUAAAAACCGAUCUUGAGUUAAAAAGAUAUUGGCAGAAACGGUUUCAUCUUUUCAGUCGAUUCAACCAAGGAAUUCAACUUGACAAAGAAAGUUGGUACUUUGUCACUCCUGAAUCGAUUGCCAAGAAAACUGCAGAAAUAUGCAAAACUAAUGUAAUAGUUGAUGGAUUUUGUGGUGCUGGAGGGAAUUCCAUACAGUUUGCCUUCACAUGUAAAAAAGUGAUCGCAAUCGACAUUGAUCCUAAGAAAAUUGAACUAGCCAAGAUCAAUGCAGGAAUUUAUGGUGUCUCGAAGAAAAUAAAAUUCAUUGUUGGUUACUUUAUUAAAUUAGCUCCAAUGCUGAAAGCAGAUGCGGUUUUUCUGAGUCCACCAUAGGGAGGUCCAUCUUAUAUGAAGGAAAGGGCUUAUGACCUAGAAAAAAUGUUGAAGCCUGUAUCAUUCUCAACAUUGAUGAAUGUCAGCAUGAAUAUUUCUCCUAACAUUGCAGUUUUUCUUCCGAGAAAUGUCGAUACCAACGAUAUGGGACAAUACCUAGGACGACAUCAAAAUAUUGAAAAGUAAUGUGCCAUAAAAUAACAGCAAAAACAUUUUAUUAUAAUGGACUUGCAGAAAAAUAUAAAAUGUAUACCUAUAAAUAAAUUAAUGUGAUGCAAUAAUAUA
Molecule: long non-coding RNA, 1232 nt
Organism: Harmonia axyridis
Lineage: Eukaryota; Metazoa; Arthropoda; Insecta; Coleoptera; Coccinellidae
Exons: 4
Source: RefSeq, a predicted model, not a curated record